Molecule: ribosomal RNA, 255 nt
Filed under: uncultured bacterium
Lineage: Bacteria
Description: partial 16S ribosomal RNA
Rfam family: Bacterial small subunit ribosomal RNA
Source: RNAcentral
UACAGAGGGUGCGAGCGUUGUUCGGAAUUACUGGGCGUAAAGCGCGCGCAGGCGGCCCUUUAAGUCUACCCGUGAAAUGCCGGAGCUCAACUCCGUGCACGCCGGGGGAUACUGGGGGGCUGGAGACAUGUAGAGGCAAGCGGAAUUCCGGGUGUAGCGGUGGAAUGCGUAGAGAUCCGGAAGAACACCUGAGGCGAAGGCGGCUUGCUGGGCAUGAUCUGACGCUGAGGCGCGAAAGCGUGGGGAGCAAACAGG